AGUGAACGCUGGCGGUAGGCCUAACACAUGCAAGUCGAACGGCAGCACAGUAAUAGCUUGCUCUUACGGGUGGCGAGUGGCGGACGGGUGAGGAAUACAUCGGAAUCUACUUUUUCGUGGGGGAUAACGUAGGGAAACUUACGCUAAUACCGCAUACGACCUACGGGUGAAAGCAUGGGAUCUUCGGACCUUGCGCGAUUGUAUGAGCCGAUGUCGGAUUAGCUAGUUGGCGGGGUAAAGGCCCACCAAGGCGACGAUCCGUAGCUGGUCUGAGAGGAUGAUCAGCCACACUGGAACUGAGACACGGUCCAGACUCCUACGGGAGGCAGCAGUGGGGAAUAUUGGACAAUGGGCGCAAGCCUGAUCCAGCCAUACCGCGUGGGUGAAGAAGGCCUUCGGGUUGUAAAGCACUUUUGUUGGGAAAGAAAAGCAGUAGGUUAAUACCCUGCUGUUCUGACGGUACCCAAAGAAUAAGCACCGGCUAACUUCGUG
RNAcentral lists this ribosomal RNA (492 nucleotides) under uncultured bacterium. RNAcentral's name for it is "partial 16S ribosomal RNA". It matches the Rfam family "Bacterial small subunit ribosomal RNA", at positions 29 to 507 of the family's 1533-position model. The record is from RNAcentral.